Parasteatoda tepidariorum (common house spider) is the source of this 507-nucleotide long non-coding RNA. NCBI's taxonomy places the organism in Eukaryota, Metazoa, Arthropoda, Arachnida, Araneae, Theridiidae. The record is from RefSeq and is a predicted model, not a curated record.
AUUUUUAUUUGUUUCAUUACAUGAUUUGUAAGGUUCAUAAACGUUCCAUAUAGUGGAGAGAAUAUAAAUAGAUAAGCUUUAAUUAAGAGUUAAUGAUUAGAAGUAGAACGAAAUGGUGAAAUUCAAAACAAAUAUGCUGAAAGUAUUUUUCCUGAUUCUUGCAAUUACUCAAAUAAGUUUAGCUUCUAUUUGCCUUCCUGAUUGCACGGAUGCUCAAUGUACACAAGACAUUUGUCCUGAAGGCACAAGACCGGUAUUUGUAGGGUGUGAUUGUUGCAAGACGUGUGAAAAAGUCUUAAAAAAAGGAGAAACCUGUACGAUUCGAGCUGAACCUUUGAUUCAACCUGAAAUAGACACCGGAGAUCGAGUUUCAAUCAGUUAUCCCCGUUGUGGCUUUAGUCUUCGCUGCGAUUCUCAAACACGCACAUGCGUUUAAGACUUUUACUGUGUAAAAAAUGUUAUUUAUUUGCGGUUAAGAAAUAAAAUAGCAUGAGCUUAAAAAAUAAA